This 23-nucleotide non-coding RNA is filed under the name Arabidopsis thaliana (thale cress). The record is from RNAcentral. Lineage: Eukaryota; Viridiplantae; Streptophyta; Magnoliopsida; Brassicales; Brassicaceae.
GCUGACUUUGAUCGGUGCAUCCA